This 613-nucleotide small RNA is filed under the name Pan troglodytes (chimpanzee). Its description in RNAcentral is "processed transcript". The record is from RNAcentral. Lineage: Eukaryota; Metazoa; Chordata; Mammalia; Primates; Hominidae.
GAAUUCAUUGAAGAGUUGCUGUCUCCCCCUUUUGGGGGUUUAGUGGCAUUUGUGAAGGAGGCUGAGGCUUUGAUUGAGCGUGGACAGGCUGAGCGACUUCGAGGGGAAGAAGCCCGGGUAACUCAGCUGAUCCGUGGCUUUGGUAGUUCCUGGAAAUCAUCAGUGGAAUCUCUGAGUCAGGAUGUAAUGCGGAGUUUCACCAACUUCAGAAAUGGCACCAGUAUCAUUCAGGGAGCGCUGACCCAGCUGAUCCAGCUCUAUCAUCGCUUCCACCGGGUGCUGUCCCAGCCGCAGCUCCGAGCCCUCCCUGCCCGGGCUGAGCUCAUCAACAUUCACCACCUUAUGGUGGAGCUCAAGAAGCAUAAGCCCAACUUCUGAUGUGCCAGAAACCGCCCUGAGAUCUGCCGGUCAUCUCCAUGGACUUCUGCACCCCAUUCCAUACCCUUCUUCACCUGGGGUCCCCCUUCCAGUUUUCCCCUUGCUUCCCAGGCCCUUGACAUGGCUUACCUGCCUUCACUCCCAGCACCUUGCCCAACAGGAUAAGCUGGAUCCCCUUGGCCUUCUGAAUAUCCCAGUGUCUUCAGGUUUCCCAAGACCACUUCCCUGUGGGCUU